RNAcentral lists this ribosomal RNA (301 nucleotides) under uncultured bacterium. RNAcentral describes it as "partial 16S ribosomal RNA". It matches the Rfam family "Bacterial small subunit ribosomal RNA", at positions 509 to 807 of the family's 1533-position model. The record is from RNAcentral.
CAGUCGCCACGGUAAUACGUAGGGUGCGAGCGUUAAUCGGAAUUACUUGGCGUAAAGCGUGCGCAGGCGGUUAUACAAGACAGAUGUGAAGUCCCCGGGCUCAACCUGGGACCUGCAUUUGUGACUGUAUAGCUGGAGUACGGUAGAGGGGGAUGGAAUUCCGCGUGUAGCAGUGAAAUGCGUAGAUAUGCGGAGGAACACCGAUGGCGAAGGCAAUCCCCUGGACCUGUACUGACGCUCAUGCACGAAAGCGUGGGGAGCAAACAGGAUUAGAUACCCCUGUAGUCCCUGUCUCUUAUAC